UCUAGCUGGAGAAAUUUCCAUUUUCAGUAGAGGCCCGGGGAGAAAAGCUCCACAGAGUGAGAUACAUUCAGAGACAAAAAAUUAUCAUACAAAAAAAUUUAUAACAUUCCAU
Long non-coding RNA from Protopterus annectens (West African lungfish), 112 nucleotides. RefSeq lists it as uncharacterized. The transcript has 3 exons. The record is from RefSeq and is a predicted model, not a curated record. NCBI's taxonomy places the organism in Eukaryota, Metazoa, Chordata, Ceratodontiformes, Protopteridae.